ACCUGCAGUCGAACGAUGAAGCCCAGCUUGCUGGGUGGAUUAGUGGCGAACGGGUGAGUAACACGUGGGUGAUCUGCCCCAAACUUUGGGAUAAGCCUGGGAAACUGGGUCUAAUACCGAAUAUGACCUUCUCCUGCAUGGGGGUUGGUGGAAAGCUCCGGCGGUUUGGGAUGGGCCCGCGGCCUAUCAGCUUGUUGGUGGGGUAAUGGCCUACCAAGGCGACGACGGGUAGCCGGCCUGAGAGGGCGACCGGCCACACUGGGACUGAGACACGGCCCAGACUCCUACGGGAGGCAGCAGUGGGGAAUAUUGCACAAUGGGCGCAAGCCUGAUGCAGCGACGCCGCGUGAGGGAUGACGGCCUUCGGGUUGUAAACCUCUUUCACCAGGGACGAAGCGUAAGUGACGGUACCUGGAGAAGAAGCACCGGCCAACUACGUGCCAGCAGCCGCGGUAAUACGUAGGGUGCGAGCGUUGUCCGGAAUUACUGGGCGUAAAGAGCUCGUAGGCGGUUUGUCGCGUCGUUCGUGAAAACUUGGGGCUUAACUCCAAGCGUGCGGGCGAUACGGGCAGACUUGAGUACUACAGGGGAGACUGGAAUUCCUGGUGUAGCGGUGAAAUGCGCAGAUAUCAGGAGGAACACCGGUGGCGAAGGCGGGUCUCUGGGUAGUAACUGACGCUGAGGAGCGAAAGCGUGGGUAGCGAACAGGAUUAGAUACCCUGGUAGUCCACGCCGUAAACGGUGGGUACUAGGUGUGGGGCUCA
Molecule: ribosomal RNA, 764 nt
Filed under: Williamsia faeni
Lineage: Bacteria; Bacillati; Actinomycetota; Actinomycetes; Mycobacteriales; Nocardiaceae
Description: bacterial SSU rRNA
Rfam family: Bacterial small subunit ribosomal RNA
Source: RNAcentral